ACUAGGCAUAGAUAUUCAGCCGUUUGUGAAAAAACGCGAAUUGAACUUUCACAUAUAUACGUAUUUCUUUGGCUGUAGUAGUCUAGUGUAGUAGUCUACAAUAGCGGCGCUGUGUGUGUCUCUGUGUCACCGAUACCUAUAUCUUAUCUUGACAGGGCUAACAAGAAGAGAAAUACUUAGUUACUUAAUAUUCUGGACGUUGGUUUGAACAAGACAUCGCAUACGAGAUACAAAUCUCAAAGAAAAUAUGUACUAUGAAACAUCGAUGACCCUGACCUUGCGACGUUGAGGAAGACCUUUCGAUAACUAUUUUCCUAUUAUAUACAACAGUACUGUAUUAUAACGAACUCUUUUUAUAACAUCUCAAUACUGUACGAUACACGUUUUUUGUUUAUAAUUAUCUGCUUCAAUUUUCCUCUUUUAUAUUCUUUCCAGUAGAAUACUAAUUAUUUUCAGCACGUUUAUUCAGAUGUAAACUAUGGAUUACAUAUUUUUAUUAUUGACAAGUUUAAAAGAUAUCAUAAAUGUUACAAACGUAAGCAUUUUUUCUGAAGCGUUUACUCAUUCAUUUAUUGUAAUUAAUGUUUUUAUUACUAUUAAAAAAACUAGAGACAACA
RNAcentral lists this long non-coding RNA (617 nucleotides) under Polistes fuscatus (common paper wasp). RNAcentral describes it as "uncharacterized LOC122517964". The record is from RNAcentral. Lineage: Eukaryota; Metazoa; Arthropoda; Insecta; Hymenoptera; Vespidae.